This 308-nucleotide long non-coding RNA is filed under the name Elaeis guineensis (African oil palm). Its description in RNAcentral is "long non-coding RNA (EGUI_LNC070236)". The record is from RNAcentral. Lineage: Eukaryota; Viridiplantae; Streptophyta; Magnoliopsida; Arecales; Arecaceae.
UACUUAAUAUAUUGAUAUAAUCAAUAAAAUAGCAAGUUCUUUUUCAUUCAAGUGUGAUGUAUCCUUGAAUCAUCCAUAAAAUUAAUUUUGAUACAUAUUCUCAAAGAUAUUGAGAAUUAGAUACAUGUAUUUAAUUCCUAAAUGCUCCCGAUCAUAUGAUCAUCAUGAGGACAGUGAUAGAUCCGGAUAGACUGACACACAAAUCACUUUCUUUGAGAUAGAUGAGUCUCUAAUCUACUGUGUAAAGACACAGGAUGACAAGUACGGAUGGUUGUUAGAGAAUAACUAGUACUGAGCGUGACUAUACG